UUCUGGUUGAUCCCGCCGGAGGUUACUGCUAUCGGUGUUUGCCUUAGCCAUGCGAGUCAAAUGUUCUUCGUGAACAUGGCGUACUGCUCAGUAACACGUGGAUAAUCUGCCCUCAGGUCUGGGAUAACUCCGGGAAACUGGAGAUAAUACCGGAUAACGCAAAUUUGCUGGAAUGCUUUUUGCGUCAAAGGUCCGCCGCCUGAGGAUGGGUCUGCGGCCUAUCAGGUAGUAGCGGGUGUAAUGUACCUGCUAGCCGACGACGGGUACGGGUUGUGAGAGCAAGAGCCCGGAGAUGGAUUCUGAGACAUGAAUCCAGGCCCUACGGGGCGCAGCAGGCGCGAAAACUUUACAAUGCGGGAAACCGUGAUAAGGGGACACCGAGUGCCAGCAACAUUUGUUGGCUGUCCACGUGCGUAAAAUGCAUGUGUUAGCAAGGGCCGGGCAAGACCGGUGCCAGCCGCCGCGGUAA
This 469-nucleotide ribosomal RNA is filed under the name uncultured archaeon. RNAcentral describes it as "bacterial SSU rRNA". It matches the Rfam family "Archaeal small subunit ribosomal RNA", at positions 1 to 473 of the family's 1478-position model. The record is from RNAcentral.